UGGCAGAAGAAGGUCUGGAUAUGAAAGAAUGUAACGUUGUUAUCCAUUAUGGUCUCCUCACCAGUGAAGUAGCCAUGGUCAAGUGUUUUGCAUGAUUUCUAUACCUGAGCUACUUAGGUUUUGCCAUGAAGAAAGCAAAAACAAGGUCAGAAGAACCAGACUCAGAAAAGUUAAAUGGCUUCUACAGGCGAUACAGCAAGUGAUGGAAAAAGAGUGAGAACUCAGGUAUCUUUGACCCCAAGAUUUCUGAUAUUUCCACCUCACUCAACUGCCUAUAUCAAGAGGUGGCACAGAUCAAAUCCAUUUCCUACCAAUAGAAAGGGGCAGUCAUGGGCAUUAGUGAUAUUUGAAGGGAAGCAGAAAUUGAAGAUUCACAGGGGGAUGUGCCGGUGGUUUCCACAUGACCACUAGAGGGCACCAGCGCCACACUGACCCACCCGUCCCGUUCUUGCACGUGAGAAAGGGUCUUUCCAAGCGGGCUUUGAGAGUGAAUGUUUGCGUUGUGGGCUUGUCCCCUGCACGCUGAGAGCUUGCUUUCUCCUGCCUUUAUUUCUUUGUUCCAGUUCUAGUUCACUGCCCAUCCCACAGUAGAUGUAAGAAUAAGACUUGCUUGGGAGGCCGAGACGGGCGGAUCACGAGGUCAGGAGAU
This is a non-coding RNA of Chlorocebus sabaeus (green monkey), 649 nucleotides long. The record is from RefSeq and is a predicted model, not a curated record. Lineage: Eukaryota; Metazoa; Chordata; Mammalia; Primates; Cercopithecidae.